Molecule: ribosomal RNA, 301 nt
Filed under: uncultured bacterium
Lineage: Bacteria
Description: partial 16S ribosomal RNA
Rfam family: Bacterial small subunit ribosomal RNA
Source: RNAcentral
CAGUAGCCGCGGGAAUACGAAGGGGGCUAGCGUUGUUCGGAUUUACUGGGCGUAAGGCGCACGUAGGCGGAUCGAUCAGUCAGGGGUGAAAUCCCAGAGCUCAACUCUGGAACUGCCUUUGAUACUGUCGAUCUGGAGUAUGGAAGAGGUGAGUGGAAUUCCGAGUGUAGAGGUGAAAUUCGUAGAUAUUCGGAGGAACACCAGUGGCGAAGGCGGCUCACUGGUCCAUUACUGACGCUGAGGUGCGAAAGCGUGGGGAGCAAACAGGAUUAGAUACCCGCGUAGUCCCUGUCUCUUAUAC